AUGGCUGUCGUCAGCUCGUGUCGUGAGAUGUUGGGUUAAGUCCCGCAACGAGCGCAACCCCUGUCCCAUGUUGCCAGCGUGAAAGACGGGGACUCAUGGGAGACUGCCGGUGACAAAUCGGAGGAAGGUGGGGAUGACGUCAAGUCAGCAUGACCCUUAUGCCUAGGGCUACACACGUGCUACAUUGGCCGGUACGAAGGGCUGCAAACCCGCGAGGGGGAGCGAAUCCCAAAAAGCCGGUCCCGGUUCGGAUUGAAGGCUGAAACUCGCCUUCAUGAAGGCGGAGUUGCUAGUAAUCGCGGAUCAGCAUUGCCGCGGUGAAUACGUUCCCGGGCCUUGUACACACCGCCCGUCACACCACGAAAGUCGGCAAUACCCGAAGCCGGUGGCCUAACCCGCAAGGGGGGGAACCGUCGAAGGUAGGGUUGAUGAUUGGGGUGAAGUCGUAACAAGGUAGCCGUAGCGGAAGCUGCGGCUGGAUCACCUCCUUUCUAGGGAUCCCAGAGGCAAUUAUCUCUGGUGGCUGCCAGCCAUGUCGUAUGGAUUCACUCUGAAUCCGUCCAUGUCCUGGCUCGCCUAGAUCAACGUCGACCUCGACUGAAAGUGUCUGUGCUUGCACAGGCUGAAGCCGUUCGCUGUUGAGUUUUGAGAGACCGGUGCUCGUCUCCCUUUCGGAGACAUGAGGCCGGCGUUCUCGUUGGGCGAGCUCGGCUCGCGCGCACCUUGAAAACUCCAUAGCUGCGAAAUUAUGAGUUCUUCACGAUCAAGAGAAUAAGGGCACACGGUGGAUGCCUUGGCGCCAAGAGCCGAAGAAGGACGUGGGCGGCUGCGAUAAGCUCGGGUGAGGUGCUGACCAACCUUUGACCCCGAGAUUUCCGAAUGGGGAAACCCGG
RNAcentral lists this small RNA (893 nucleotides) under uncultured Rubrobacteria bacterium. RNAcentral's name for it is "bacterial SSU rRNA". The stretch from base 1 to 491 matches the Rfam family "Bacterial small subunit ribosomal RNA", at positions 1045 to 1533 of the family's 1533-position model. The record is from RNAcentral. Lineage: Bacteria; Bacillati; Actinomycetota; Rubrobacteria.